Molecule: ribosomal RNA, 253 nt
Filed under: uncultured bacterium
Lineage: Bacteria
Description: partial 16S ribosomal RNA
Rfam family: Bacterial small subunit ribosomal RNA
Source: RNAcentral
UACGGAGGGUGCAAGCGUUAAUCGGAAUUACUGGGCGUAAAGCGUGCGCAGGCGGUUUGUUAAGUCCGCUGUGAAAUCCCCGAGCUCAACUUGGGAAUUGCAGUGGAUACUGGCAAGCUGGAGUAUGGUAGAGGAAGGUGGAAUUCCUGGUGUAGCGGUGAAAUGCGUAGAUAUCAGGAGGAACACCUGUGGCGAAAGCGGCGCACUGGACCACAACUGACGCUGAGGCGCGAAAGCUAGGGGAGCAAACAGG